GCCCAUACGGACCACAAAACUUCUUCUUCUGCAACAGUCUGUUGGCGGUUGAUGGUUGAUGGUGGUUUGAAUGUUUUUUUUCUUAAAAGUGUUUUUUUUUGCUUAUACUUCGAGACGCAACUGACAUACAGCCUCGCAGUCGUCGUCGCGAGCAAAGUUAGUUGAAGCUGAAAAGUAAAGAUUGGCGUAAGGCGAGAAGAAAAAAAAUACUGCGAGUUGAGUGAAUUAAGGUGCGCGCGCGCGAGCGAUCUCUGGCGAAUCAUCUGGCCGUGGCCGGUUGCGGGUUGUUGGUGCAAAACGGAUUGAAAAGUGUUAAAAAAUCCCCUAAACUGGCUGCCAGGUUUGUUGGCUUAGGAAGGCAGAGGGAAGGAAGGAAAAAAUAAAAACAUUCAAUCCAAUCUCUCCCCCUAAAGUUCGCCAACAGCAACGGCUUUGGUUCUUGACGUCGCGGCGCGGCAAACUCGCAUACGAUCGCAUUUCCAGUCCCGGUUUGUCAGUUUGGUUGCGGUCUGUUUCUCAAGUGCACACCGGAACACUGCAGGUUCCCACAUUUGUUUUUUUUUGGAAAAGUUAAACUCUGAUACCCCAGAUUGUGGAUGUUUUUCGGUAGAACCUAGGCGUUGAGGUCAGUGUUCGUUGUCAGGUGCUGUGGCUUUACGCGUACCUACGCGUCAAAAAAGGUGAAAGAUUGUGCCGAAUUUGCAUCUUUGUGCGCAGCCACGUUUGACUGACAGCUGCUAGCGUUCAAGUGUGGAAAGGUGAAGUCAUCAUCGACCAGCUGUGCUAAAAAUUGUUCAAAUCUAGGGGAAAACCUACCGAAAAGCUGCUGAAGCACACGCGAAAUCUUCUACAAAUCAUCGAAGUUUAAGUAACUGUUCUACCCCAUACAUCAAACGGAAAGCUUUCCUCAAGUGCCCUUAUUCCCUUAAAAGGUUUGUCCGGAAAUCGGAUGACCUAAACGAAAGCAAAGUUCUCACGAAAUUCAACCGGGCGAAACUGAAAUCUGACGUCUCGUCUGAGAAGUGUUUCCCAAAGUGAAAAGUGAAUAAGCCCGAAGUUGCAGAAAGCGAAAAGUUCUUUCCCAUAACAAGUUAACAACAGCAAAACCUCCUCGGAAGGAAGUGAAUAAUUUUGCCGUGUCUCUUUGUUUUGCGGAAAACAAGUGCUAAUAACCGCAAGUGAGUAAAAAUCAAACGAAGAAAAAUUCAAGUUCGAUUUACCCAAGUAAAAUCCCAACAACAACUGUGUGUGACAAACGCGAUUGAAGUGAUCUCGAUUCCAAGGUUCGUUUUGUUUUGUCCUCCGGCUAAAACCAAUUGGAUGCGGUUGAGAUUUGGCGUUUUUAUUUUUUAACAAGGUUCCUAAAGUCACAUCUAUCAGCGGGUAACGGAAUUGUCUGAUUCGGAGUAGUUCAAUCCAAGCCAGAUCGGAAAAACUCCAAUCAACAGUGCAACUCGAGAGACUCAGAGGCAAUAUUGAAACCCAAAUCUCCAAAACGAGAACCCAGAACCAGCACUGUCACAUCAUUAAAAGGGCAUUUCAACUUGAAACAACACAACGAAAAAAAAACCAUUGAAACCUGGGUGACAUAGCGUAGAUCCAGUUUCCCGAUAACGAAACAAGUCAACUUAAAUUAAAAAAAGAGAAGAAACUAACCUCACACAUAAAUUCAGAAUGGAAGUAGUUCAAUCGACCCCAUUAAUGGCCAUGGCAAACGGAGGCCAGGCCACCACACCGAAUGGAGGAACAUCAUCCUCGUCGCAGUCUUCAUCGGCCGUGACCGCAUUACGUGCUGCUUCUGGUGCUGGAGCUGGCCCAUUUCAACGGGAGAUCCGAGAAUGGCAACAUGUCGAUCCGAAUACGGGAGCCCUGCUGACUGGACGCCUGGAGGCCGACCGCUGGGUGAAUGGGCCCCUCAAUAGCUUCGGGAAGAUGGUAACACAGAACAUGUCCUCGCCCGAUGGCAGCACCCAGCACACGCAAAAGAAGCAGAUGGAAAUUCUCCAGGCGCGAACAGCAUCUGGCUCGCUGCAGGUUGUCCGGGCUCAAACCGUUCAGACCACCUCAUCCCGGUGGUCUUCCUCUACGCUACAUUCGGAAAUAAGCUCCAGCUCCAGCAACUCAGACAGCAGACACAAAACAUCCGCCUUGAAUGGUUAUUCCAAUCAUCAUCCUUCAUCGGGAUUUUCGAGACUUCAUCAUCAGGAACAGUUUCUCCACAGGCCACCCGUGAGCGCCGCUAGAUUACUGAAUCUGGCAGCAGCAUCGUCAGCAUCCAUCAGCAGCAGCAGCAACAACAACAACUUCCUACACAGUUCUAGCGGCUCUCCUCUGACGACAAAUCAUCCCUCGUCCUCCGCCGCCCAUUCAUUGCUAGCGAACACAACGACUUCAUUGUCAUCGUCGUCGUCGUUGUCGUCAGCCAACAACGGUUCAUCAACGGGUUUGCUGCUCAAUGGCCACAAUCAUCAUCAUCAUCACACUAGUUUUGGAAGUAACAGCUUCAGCAAGAGCUCCACUAUUAGUUCCAGCAGUAGUUCCAGUGGCCCAGUGGUGCAAAUUGCAGAUAGUGUGGGAGGAUUAACAGCAGCAUCCCACCACAAUCACCUCCUUAAUAGGUCCCCACACGAUAGCAGCAGCAGCAGCAGUUGGUUCGAUAAAUUCAAAGAUAUCAGCGUGAAGGAGAAACCGGCCGAUGCCGAUAGCUUCCUGAGCCGGGGGAAAAGUAUCUCGAUCGAAGACCUAUCGACGGAGCGCGACGAAGCCAACUUUGAUGACGACGUCGUCGAGCCUACGCAGUGGAAACGAGUUAGCAAAAUCCGACGUUCACUUCAGUUCCCAAGGAAAACGGCCCCAAAGUCAAGCACCCGUCCGGCAGACCUUCCGGAAAAUUCGGGCAGUGUGUGGAAAAUUCGGCAGGAGCUGGAAAACGGCCGCCGACUGAACACCGCCAUGAGGAACAACCACAUCGAUUUCGUGGCUUUGGAUAACAUCCUUAAAAGUGUAUCGGAUACGCCUUCGCCUACGACGACAAAGCAGCAGCAGCAGUCCGAUAACACGCCCCGAAGUCCAUCUGGGAAAUCUACGACUUCCACUUUUCUGACUGCCGAGUCGUUGAAGGAAAUUCGUGGAAAACUGAGAAGGUUGAGCAAUGAGUCGUUGUAUCGAGACGAUAUGAGCCCUGGCGAUGAACGUAAAGCUAUGGAGGAUGACGAUGCCGUUACAAUCACCGAAGUUGAAACACGAAUGGGACAGUUGCAGACGAGCAGUUCAUCGGACUCGUACAAAAGCAACAGCCUGGAAUCUAACCGCAAGCCUUCGAUCACCGAAAGUAUUUCCGAUGAUUGGCAUUCGCGUAGGAAAUCUUACGGUUUUGAAAGGAUGAAUCACUCGUCUAACUUCAUGUCCAAAAUGGAUUCAUCGACUGACAGUGGUAUUGGUCGUUCCACAGAUCUCAGCUCCAGCUGGUCAAGUGGAGGGGCCGAUGCUUCUCAGGGGAAUACCCGAGGUACGAUCGUAACAUUGGGAGAUCAGAAGGAAAAACCAACCAACACUGCUAUGGUUAUAAAAAUCACCAACGAAAGUCGGGAAAAGGAACGAGAACAACGUGAAGAGGACAUCAAGCGUCAUUCGAUCGCUGUCGACGAAACGAGUUACGUGCGUGAUAGUUUGAAAACUAUGUUCGAAAAGAAGUCUUCAGUUAGCGUCAAUGGAUUUAGUCACACCUUUAUCGAGGAACUUAACAAGAACAAAAAGAAGGUUGAGUUCUGCAAGACUGAGGUACACUUCACGGCGGAUUCCGGACGGGUUAAUAUCGUUGAAACGGACGAAAAACCUCCACCUACAAACAAUUUCCGGAGACGGCGUAGAUCUUCUGGGGGAUCCGUAGGAUCCUCCUACAUGCAGGCUAUCACUUCCGGAGCUCCAGUCACACAUUUCGGGGAUCUCGAGCAGGAAGUUAGCGAAACGGACCUUAAAGAAAAUCCCGUAUACACCGCACCUCCGGUUGUGACCACCUCUAUCGGUCGUCCGGAACCUAGUCCUCGUCGCUCGAUCGUAACCUCAGACGAGAGUGACAAUCAGUCGGCAGAUGAUAUCUCCCUAAGAGGAAUACUGAAAAACAAACCCGUGAAACCUAAACCUUACGUCCUGGGGGAGAAUAUGGCCAACAGUGAAAGUUUGUGGGGAGUUAAGCUGAGACCGGUCUCGACGGAACUCAACUACUGGCACGAGCAGGAGGAGUUGAGCGGAAAAUCACAAACUGCAGUAACUACGGAAGACAAAUCCGAUAGCGUUUCUCCAGCAACUUCCUUUUCGACGAAAAUAAAUCUUACAUCGGUUGCACCGAUUUCUAAAAAAUCAGAUGAAUCGUCGAUCGAUCCGAAAGGUACCACCAAAAUUCUGAUCGAUAUGUCCACCACCAAUUCCGUCAAUCAGAACCCUCUCAAAUCAACAUCCCUAAUCAUGCGAACGAUGCGUUCGGCUAACCAAUUCGACGAAGCAAUGAAAAGUUUGGAAGCCACCCGGCGAGAAUCCAUCGAUAGCAACGAAGCCAGCGAAGAACGGCGCUCAGCCUUCCACCUUAUCUCGAGCAGCUCCAUUGCCAAGUCAAGUUCCGCUAGUAGUAUCUACAACAACAAGGAAACACCCAAGCUCAAGGUUGCCAAAUACGCAGCAUCUCUCGACGGGGAUGUCGACGACUAUCCCCCAACGCGCUAUCGUGCUCCGAUGCCAGCUCUGAGACGGAGCUUUACCAACGAAUCUCGGCUGUCGGACUUCGAAGCCUUCAUCACCAAGAACAGCAGCAGCAGCAUCCGUCGAUCGAGUACGGACGAGUUCCCCUCGGUCGGGAUGGUUUCGAGUGUGUCCGCCUGUAAACCUGUGGCAGCACCCCGAUUGAAGAAGCUCGGAGGAUCUAGCGUAUUGAGCCAUCAGCUGACGCAGUUGAAGCGGCUGUACGAUGCAGCCGAACAGUACGACAGCGAUGAGAGCGCUAAAGCAGACGAAGAAGUCAAGCUGUACCUUGGCAACCUAACGAGUGAGGAACGCAUCACGAGCGAACUGUCCGGCAGCUGGAGUCGGCUUAAGGCCAAGCGCAACAUUCAAAAGUACCGGGAUCAGGAUCUGAAAAUCACUGUCAACUCCGUGUCAGAAUUUGAAAUAGUGAAACCUUCUUCGAAUGGAACCACAACAACAACCAUCAAUACGGAAGGGCCGCCGCGGAGUACCAAUAUCAUGUCCAUCGCACUGAAAAGUCCAAUCCUGUCGAAGAAAAAUCCUUCGCCAAGUACAGUUAAUCCUCCGCAAUCCCACGAAUCGCAACCGAAUCAGACCCAGCAACCCCUCUCGACCCACUUCAAACGACACAUCCCCUCGAAUGCCUCUAGCGACACGAACGGCACAGCACGAAACGAAGAACGGGCAUCGCUACGGCUGUCGUCCGGCGCACGACAACUCCGUGACCAUGAACUGUCAUUCUUCGGUGUCAACCCCAACAACAACAGCGGUAACGGUAAUAAACAGCAUUCAUCGGGUGAAACGAAACCGACCUUCACCCGGUCGACCACCCUGACGUCGUCCUUCAUCAAGCGCAACUCGAUCAACAUGAACCCCCUGUCAACUUCGUCUUCGACGAACUCGGUGAAGUCUUCCGCUGUCAACGUUCAGCAAUCGAAGACGACACAAAACUCAACACAGUGGCAGCUGUCAAACGACAAGCCGGAUUUGCUACGGCACAGCCAACGCAUCGAUCAAGCUGCUGCUAGCUUUUCUUCAACGACGCAGAACACGUCGAAGACGACGAAUGCACAAUACGAACCGCAGUACGAGAAUCUAGUCAAAGCAGCAGUCGCGGAGCCGAGCCAACCAGUGCAAACGUACGACCGAAAGAAGGAUCUCAAGCGAGACGAGCAGAUACUGGAGGAGCUCACUCGUGCUGCCGAUGAAAUUUUGAACGUUGUCAACAACAUGUCAAAUGCGGAAAGCACCGAAAGUUUGCUAAACGAAUUCCGCGGUUCGAAGACUUCUAGCACUCUGGGAACGAUCCGGGAAUGUUCAGCCAGCAGCAAAGUGAUGAAAUCGCGCGGCGUUCAGGUUUCAAAGAAUUUCGACGACAGCCUGAAGCGCCAUCAGCGAUCUGGUAGAGUUUCUUCAGCAUCGUCAAACGAAAGUCUAUCGCGAUCAUCACCUGCUCGAAUGACUACGGCGAUAAGCACCAGUCAGGCCCAAGAGUCCCGCAACGGAAUAAGUCGUCGCAAGCUACCGAACUCAUCUACAGAAUCUCGUCGGUUGAUCCGCAUGUGUAGCAAAGAACGUCUACACCAAUCCAACGCUAGCUCAUCGGAAGAUCUACCAAAUGCGGCCCCGGUGGAACCUCCACGGAGACCUCGACGAACUCGCUAUCACAACGGAGAGAAAGAUAAGGAAAGUCCACGAGCGAACGCUUCACGAUCAUCUACAAUUGAGAGCCGACGUAGUGACGAACGUACCCCAUCUAGCCGAUCGCAUCGUAGCGAACGAUCUUCCACGAGAACCAGUAAAGGUCACAGUACUUCGGCCGGAUUAUCUUCGUCCAGUGUAAUUCCGACCACAGCUCCCGUGAUCGAUCAGCAGCACCGCAGUAUUCGUACCAGCAGUAGCAGCAAAGCCACCGGACCCUCCGUCAUGACAACUACGGCUUCUUCACGUUCUUCUUCUUCCUGUACUCCUUUUCCAAUCAAACCUAGCCAGCAUAGCCUCUUGAUAGUUUAAGCAAAUAAGCGGGAUUCGUGCCGGAGAAACGCGUGCCGGAAUACUUUGUGAUAGGAACAAUAGAUCGUCCAAAAAGCAUCACCGGUGAGAUUCCGCCCUGCUCAGAUUAUCGUGUAGUUUAGCUAAUUGUUUGUGUGGCAAAUUUGAAUGAAAUUUAUGAAAUCAAAACACAAGUCUCAGAUUGACGCGUUUGAUGAAUUAUGCGUACCAUUUCAGGGAUGUUACGUCUGCUUUUUUGUUCGAAAAGGAAAAAAAUUGAAAAAAACGAUUAUAGACUUAGGUGUAAGAAAAAAAACGUGUAUACUAGUACUAACAAAGAUCUCGAAAUUUUUGGAAACAAACAAUCCACUAUCUAGGAAACGAAUCGAAGAGACACAAUCAAUCGAGAUGAAAUCAGCGAGAAGAAACAGGAGAAAAUUAAAACAUGACAAGUCGAAAAACGAGACGAACCUCGAAAUAUUUGAAUUGAUACUAACUUGUUUUCAUCGAAAUAUGCGAAUCGAACCGAUUUAUUUAACCACAUUUAAUGAUUUCCUGCCCCCGCAAAACGCGAAACUUAAAAGAAGUACUUCGACACGUACUUAGAGCUUGUUCCUAUUUUAUUCUAAACUCAGUGCUUACAUACAUGUAACAAAAUAAUUAUCGAAACUGUUAUAGUACUCAACUGCCAGAUUGUAGGUGUAAAAUUGUCCGAAGAGAGCAGGAGUUAUUAAGAAGAGUCAUUAUAUUUUGGGUGUGAAAUCCUAACUAACUCUCCGCACUAAUCCAGACUGGCUCAGAUUAAUCCAAUCGAUUGUUGUUUUUCAUUAGUCACUACAAUACGAACCUUCGAAAGAAGAAAUAGCACGCAGCGCUUUUUGUCUUGUUUUUUUUUUGCAGCAGAAUAUUGACUACGAUUUAACACAAAUUUUAUCAACGGUAAUUUACAAAACGAUACAUAUUUAUAUAAACUACAUAAAUAUAUACAGCAGAGUAGGUAAAUAAAGCUAUUUUGUGAAAUAAUGGAAAAAAUACAAAUGCUAAAACAGAUAA
This is an RNA transcript of Uranotaenia lowii, 7782 nucleotides long. It is a transcript of the gene named serine-rich adhesin for platelets-like, with no coding region annotated. The transcript is spliced from 14 exons. Lineage: Eukaryota; Metazoa; Arthropoda; Insecta; Diptera; Culicidae. The record is from RefSeq and is a predicted model, not a curated record.